CUUCCGAUGUAGACCCGUAUGCUUCGCCUGCACCACGGGUCUGGUUAGGUGCAGGCGUUUU
This 61-nucleotide small RNA is filed under the name Escherichia fergusonii ATCC 35469. RNAcentral describes it as "RydC". It matches the Rfam family "RydC RNA". From Rfam's summary of the family: This family represents a bacterial non-coding RNA called RydC. RydC is thought to regulate an mRNA, yejABEF which encodes an ABC transporter protein. Lineage: Bacteria; Pseudomonadati; Pseudomonadota; Gammaproteobacteria; Enterobacterales; Enterobacteriaceae. The record is from RNAcentral.